Molecule: long non-coding RNA, 3529 nt
Filed under: Homo sapiens (human)
Lineage: Eukaryota; Metazoa; Chordata; Mammalia; Primates; Hominidae
Description: HSALNT0244012
Source: RNAcentral
UAAACAUAUAGGUAAGCUGGAAACUAGUUAAGCUAUUCAGGACCACUAUUAGAAAAUUUACAAAAGAUUAUUGAGGAAAAUUGAAGAUAAUUUUAAAAAAUAGAUAAUUGUAUCAUAUUCAUAUAUUGAAAGAUGUUAAUUCUCCCUAAACUGAUCUGUAGAUUCAAUGCAAUCCCAAUCAAAAUCUCAAUAGAUAUUUUAUGCGUGCAUAUAUUAACAAGUUGAUCCUAAAAUUUAUACUGAAAUGCAUAUAGCCACGAAUAGCCAAGAAAAUAUUGAGAAAGAAUGAUAAAAUACAAGUACCAGCUCUACCUGAUAUGAAGACAUUAAUUGCUAUAUUUAAGACAUUGUGGUAAUGGUGACAUGUUAGAUAAAUGAGCCAAAAUAAUAAAAUGGAGAAUUCAGAAACCUACCAAUACAUAUAUAAAAACUUGAUAUAUUAUAAAGUUGGCACUACUGGACAAUGAAAAAAGCAGAAAACAUCUUUACAAUAAAUAGUACUGGGUCAAUUGGAUAUGCAUAUAGAAUAAAAUUAAUACUGAUUCUUUUUUAUAUCAUCUAUGAAAAUCAAUUCUGUGUAGAUUUUAGAUGUAAAUAGUAAAGCUACAAUGCAGAAAAACAUCUUCACGAUCUCAGAGUAAGCAAAGAUUUCCUAAACAGAAUUCAGAAAGCACUUACCAUAAAGUAAAAGUUUAGCAAAUUGGACUACAUCAAAAUUAGUAACAUCCUUCCCCCCCCGCCACAGACACCAUCAUAAAGCGAGAAGGCAAGCCACAUGAUGGGAGAAGAUAUUUGCAGUAAAUAUAACAACAAAGAACUCAAUGUAAAAUAUAUAAAGAACUCUUACAAAUCAAUAAGAAAAAGCCAGAAGUCCCAGUAGAAACAUGGUCAAAAGAUAUUAGUGGGUAGUUUACACAUUGGAUAUUCAAAUGUCCUCUAAACAAGAAAAGGUGAUUAAUUUCAUUAGUCAUCAAGAAAGGCACAUUAUAACCGCAAUGACUUACCUCUAUAUACCCAUCACAAUGGCUAAUAUUUAAAAAGCAAAAACCACUAGUACUAAUAAUUGGUAAGGAUGUGAAGUAACUAGACCUCUCAUGCGUAGCUUAUGGAAGUGUAAAUUAUUACAAUCACUCAGGAAAACUAUCUGGCAUUCUUUACUGAGGUUGAAGAUAGGCUUAUCCUGUGAGCAAUUUUACUCUUAAGUAUAUGCCUAACAGAAAUAUAUGUACCUGUGUACCACAAGGCUGACACACAAGUGUCCCUAGCAACAUCAUUCAUGUUGGCCAAAAAUUGGAGACAAACCACAUGUCUAUCAACAGCAGAAUGAAUAAUAAAUUGUGGAAUAUUCACAUAAUGGAAUGCUAUCUGGCAAUGAAAUUGAACGAACCAAAGUAACACAACAGAGUGGAUCCGUCUCACGAUGCUGCACAAAAGACAUCAAAUGCAAGAAGAUGCGUUCCUUUGUGUCCUGUAUGAUUCAAUUUAUAUACAACUCAAAAAAGCAGGCAAACUGCUAUAGUGUUUAGGAAUGCACACUUAGGUGAUAUAGCUAUAAAUAAAAUAAGGAAGAGGUUAUAAAAUUUACUCGUGGUGGAGAGGGAAAGAUUAGUAAUAGGGAGGGGAUAUGAGGGGAUAUGAGGGAUCAGUGACGGGGAGGGGAUAUUAGAGUGUGUUUUUUUGUUCUGGCUACAUGGGUAUUCAAAAUAAAUCUGUAGUAAUAUACUGAGCCAUACAUUUUUGCUUUGUACACUUUUCUGUAUGGAUGUUGUCAAUCUUGGGUUUAUGUUCAGCAGCUCCUGCUGAACCUCUGUGGAAGAGCGAUGGGUGCAAAUACUAUGGAACAGGAAGCAAUAUAUGAGUCCAUUCUUAUGCCCCAUGAGGGAUCCACUCUCAGCCUCUCCAAGGAGGAAGUGACUCUUUUCACCAAACAAGGCUUGAAACCCUGGCCCAUCUCCAGACCUCGGAAGAAAACGGACUCUUCCAGUCAACAAAACCAUCAUCAUUUGCUUCAGUGGCUACCCCUAAGGAGGAGAGGGGAAUGAGGAACCCGGGCUGGGGAGACUGACUUUCCUGGUGGUUUCUUACUAUAAGCAUAUAUUACAGUCAUUGAAAAAAAUUUUUUUAGACAUGGUCUUUUUCUGUCACCCAGGCUGGAUUGCAGUGGGUUGAUCUUAAGCUCACUGCAGCCUCAAACUUCUGGGCUCAAGUGAUCCUCCUUCCUCAGCCUCCUGAGUAGCUGGGACUACAGGCAUGUGCCAGGCACCCACCUAAUUUUUUGUAGAGAUGGGAUCUUGCUUUGUUUCCCAGGCUGGUCUCAAACUCCUGGCCUCAAGAAAUCCUCCGGCCUUGGCCUCCUGAAAUGCUGAGAUUACAGGAGUGAGACACUGCAUCCAGUCUGAGGAGAGAAAAAGAGAGAAAGAGAUGAUGACAGUGUUAAAAAAGAAUGAGGUGGCCUCUGAUCUUGGAAGGAAGAGUGCUCAGACAGUGUCCUGCUGCUAGAAGAAGGGUCUCGUCUGGGGGCUGUGUCUGUCCACGCCAGAUUCCCUGUUGAUGGAUGCUCCAGUCUGGCCCCCAGGAGAGGCUCACACCACACCUGCUUCACUGGAGGGAUCUCCACUGCUCUCUCCCUACCUCCCAGGUCUCCUGAGCCUCCCUUCUAGCUACUGCAGCGGUCCUUUUAUUCACAACAGCAGAGGCGUGUGAGGUUGGCUCUCCCUCAAGCUCUCCUCUAGGACCAUGGGACACCCAGUGGCACUGCCUCAUGUCCUCUCUGGCCCUGGCAGACCUUGUGGCUGGCUCUAUUGUUUCCACACCAUGGAGACCGAGAGCUCCUCAGUGGCAGCCACUUCCCAGCCAGGGACCCAGGGGCACAGUUCCACUGUGUUGGUGGAUUUCCAGACAUUUCCAAGGGAGGGUUCUUUUGCCACCUUCUCGCUCUUGCAGCUUGCUGGGAGUGAGAGCAGCACGUGAGUAGGGGUCUGUGUAGGGUUCACAUCCACCAGCCCCUGACUCUCUGACUCCUCCUAUUCCUCUGUCCAGACAGUGCAUGCCCCAGGCUGGUGGGGAAAAACUCCUCAGCAAGGAAGUUGGUCUCCUGGACUCUGGUUUUUUAAUACAUAAAUGCGAAAAUAUUUUGAUGCCUUUGUUCUCUGCAUUUGUGGUCACAACUCUCCCUCAGGGCAACAAGAGGUAGGAAGAAAACGUGAAGAAGAAAGAAAUCGACAUUUGUCCCUAUUAUGUGAUAUCAUCCUGCCACCUGUGUGUGGCUGUGGCUGUUGGGGGGAAGAUCUGGAAGGAAGCCCAGUGACCCACUCUUGGGGGUUAUUAUAAGAACAGAAGUGAGCUGGAGCAAGGUGCAGGCAGGGAGAGAGAGAGAGACUUCAUUUUUUAUCUUAUAUGUUAGGUUGGUGCUAAAGUAAUUGCGGCUUUGCAAUUACUUUUAAUGGCAAAACCGCAAUUGCUUUUCACCAAUCUAAUACUUCUGCAAUGUCUGAAAUGUUUGAAAUGUUUACAGUAAGUCUAUAAUCAC